GGAUGCAAUCAUACCAGCACUAAAGCACCGGAUCCCAUCAGAACUUCGAAGUUAAGCAUGAUUGGGUGAGAUUAGUACUAGGAUGGGUAACCUCCUGGGAAGUCUUCGUGUGUGGUGCUCG
Molecule: ribosomal RNA, 121 nt
Filed under: Hordeum vulgare subsp. vulgare (domesticated barley)
Lineage: Eukaryota; Viridiplantae; Streptophyta; Magnoliopsida; Poales; Poaceae
Source: RNAcentral